AUGGCUAGCUUCGGCGUCGACACGCGUCCCGCCGCGGCGGGGGAGGGAGCGCUCUCCUUCCUCUCCCGGAGCCUGCGGGAGGACCUGCGCCUCAUCCGCGCGCGGGCCGGGGAGCUUGAGACCUUCCUCAGCGCGCCGGUCCCGGAGCCCGACCUCUUCGCGCGCCUCCGCAAGGCCUACAACACCACCUCCUCCUCCGCCUCCGCCUCGGGGAUCGGGAGGACGCGCCUGGACCUGUCGGCGAUAGGGAAGGCGUUCGAGGCUGAGGUCGGGAGGGGGUGGGGGGCCAAGACCGGGUGGAGGUGGGAGGACGAGGACGCCGCGGAGUGGGAGCCCAUACGGGCCGUCAAGGCGCGCCUCAGGGACCUCGACCGCAAGCGCCAGGACCAGGCCAGCGACGUGCUCCACAAGGUCAAGCUCAGCCUGGUCAAGUUCAUCUAA
RNAcentral lists this ribosomal RNA (441 nucleotides) under Triticum aestivum (bread wheat). RNAcentral describes it as "partial small subunit ribosomal RNA". Lineage: Eukaryota; Viridiplantae; Streptophyta; Magnoliopsida; Poales; Poaceae. The record is from RNAcentral.